AAUGUUCACAUGUAAACAGCAGCUCAUGUGGUGUAGAUGUCCAGUCAACAAGGAUGUAGCGAGGUUGACUGUCCAGGCGACACACGUACUUAGGUAUCGUCAUGAGCUAAUGUUCACAUGUAAACAGCAGCUCAUGUAGUGUAGAUGUCCAGUCAACAAGGAUGUAGCGAGGUUGACUGUCCAGGCGACACACGUACUUAGGUAUCGUCAUGAGCUAAUGUUCACAUGUAAACAGCAGCUCAUGUAGUGUAGAUGUCCAGUCAACAAGGAUGCAGCGAGGUUGACUGUCCAGGCCACACACGUACUUAGGUAUCGUCAUGAGCUAAUGUUCACAUGUAAACAGCAGCUCAUGUAGUGUAGAUGUCCAGUCAACAAGGAUGUAGCGAGGUUGGCUGUCCAGGCGACACACGUACUUAGGUAUCGUCAUGAGCUAAUGUUCACAUGUAAACAGCAGCUCAUGUAGUGUAGAUGUCCAGUCAACAAGGAUGUAGCGUAGACUGUCCAGGCGACACACGUACUUAGGUAUCGUCAUGAGCUAAUGUUCACAUGUAAACAGCAGCUCAUGUAGUGUAGAUGUCCAGUCAACAAGGAUGUAGCGAGGUUGACUGUCCAGGCGACACACGUGCUUAGGUAUCGUCAUGAGCUAAUGUUCACAUGUAAACAGCAGCUCAUGUAGUGUAGAUGUCCAGUCAACAAGGAUGUAGCGCGGUUGACUGUCCAGGCGACACACGUACUUAGGUAUCGUCAUGAGCUAAUGUUCACAUGUAAACAGCAGCUCAUGUAGUGUAGAUGUCCAGUCAACAAGGAUGUAUGACUAGUGAAGAUUGGCUAGUUUCUACCGUUUAUAAUUACACCAAACAAUUAAGGUUACAUCUUUUGUUUUCCUCUUGUCACACGGUAGUAAUUACUGCGAGGGCUAAACAAUAGAGGGUGAACGGUUUGUGACCUUUCAUUUUAAAUGGUCAAACCUAUUGUAUUGUGCCUGCGUUUUUCUAUCUGAGGGGAUAUGUAGAAAGGUUUUCUAGUAGACCACUUUUUCCCAUAUUUUGUAUUUAGUCAAUUUUGUUCCUUCACUUUAUCGCAUUCAGUGAUCAGAUGGAAUCAAAAAUAUGCUAACAAGACAGCAGUUCCAUCAUCAUUACAUUGACGGUUAACAGUCCACAAUAUUGCGUUUUUCACGAUAUUUUGUAUCUCAGGGUGCUUUUCCAUAAUAGAUGUGCUACGAAGAUGUAAUAACUAAGCUGUGAAACUAGGCGAACGUUUCCACUGAAAACUACUAAGCUAUGUAGCUAUGGGAGGAAAAUAUGCGAUGUAUCGAUAGUAGGAAAGCCAUCCAUAGCACACAUUCAUAGCAACGGCACUGAUUAAUUACCAUUAAGUGGCAUGACUCCUCAUUCCCAUAAAACUUUUUAUUUAAAGAGGGACUGCCUUCAAUUCUCUUUACCUUUUCAGUCAAGUAAUAUCCCUUAAAUCUUCUUCUAAGUCUGAAAACCACUAUACCGAUAACCGCAUCAAAAUCGUUUCAGCCAAACGCGAGAUAAUCGCGUAGAAACAUACACACCUAUAUACAGAUUAAAUGGAGAACCUCCUUUUCUUUGAAGUUGGUUAAAAAAACUAUGUAUAUCUUGACCGAAGAGAUUUUUCAACGGACUUUUUGCAGACCGAUUUUUUUUUCAAAAUUUAAGCCAGCUGUUUUAUACCCUUCAUUGGUUCCGUCACCACCUGAUAUGUACCCUAACCUAAUUUAUGGCACCCAUGCUGCAACGCACCAUUGAAUCGAACCGGUGCAAUAUCGGAGCGCAACUUAUUGGUCACUGAGCACCUGUGACAUGGUCUACUGACCGUCAGUGUGUUGAAGUUGGAUUGAAGAUUAGUAACGUAAUAUCACGCUUGUAUUUAAUUAAAGGGCUAAGUAGAAUAAUGAUUUUAAUAAGC
This is a long non-coding RNA of Spodoptera frugiperda (fall armyworm), 1935 nucleotides long. RefSeq lists it as uncharacterized. The transcript has 3 exons. Lineage: Eukaryota; Metazoa; Arthropoda; Insecta; Lepidoptera; Noctuidae. The record is from RefSeq and is a predicted model, not a curated record.